Molecule: ribosomal RNA, 682 nt
Filed under: uncultured eukaryote
Lineage: Eukaryota
Description: SSU rRNA
Rfam family: Eukaryotic small subunit ribosomal RNA
Source: RNAcentral
GCAGGCGCGCAAUUACCCAAUCCUGAUACAGGGAGGUAGUGACAGUAAAUAACAAUGCAGGACCCUCUGGGUUUUGCAAUUGGAAUGAGAACAAAUUAACUUCGCUUAUCGAGUAACAAUUGGAGGGCAAGUCUGGUGCCAGCAGCCGCGGUAAUUCCAGCUCCAAUAGCGUAUAUUAAAGUUGUUGCAGUUAAAAAGCUCGUAGUUGAACCUUGGGCAAGUCGACUCUGGUCGAUCGCAAGAUCGUACUAGAGCGUCAAGCCUCUACUGGGGGACUUGUCGCUCUGCGGCAAGGUAACCCGUGUUACUGUGAAGAAAUUAGAGUGUUUAAAGCAGGCGAUCGCUUGAAUACAUCAGCAUGGAAUAACAAGAUAUGACUCCGGUCUUUCUUGUUGGUUUGAGGGUUAGAGUAAUGAUUAAUAGGGCCAGUUGGGGGCAUUAGUAUUCAGUAGUCAGAGGUGAAAUUCUUGGAUUUACUGAAGACUAACUAGUGCGAAAGCAUUUGCCAAGGAUGUUUUCAUUAAUCAAGAACGAAAGUUAGGGGAUCGAAGACGAUCAGAUACCGUCGUAGUCUUAACUAUAAACGAUGCCGACUAAGGAUCGGCAGAAGUCGUUUGCGACUCUGUCGGCACUUUGUGAGAAAUCAAAGUUUUUGGGUUCUGGGGGGAGUAUGGUCGCAAGG